CAUUGGCUUUGGUUGGUGCUGUCAGCCGAGCGCCCCACGCGCGCUGGAAAUCCGGCUGAUUGCCUCGACGUUCCACCUGUCGCUGGUGC
RNAcentral lists this transfer RNA (89 nucleotides) under Ensifer sp. M14. Its description in RNAcentral is "tRNA-Val". The record is from RNAcentral. Lineage: Bacteria; Pseudomonadati; Pseudomonadota; Alphaproteobacteria; Hyphomicrobiales; Rhizobiaceae.